Molecule: ribosomal RNA, 391 nt
Filed under: uncultured bacterium
Lineage: Bacteria
Description: bacterial SSU rRNA
Rfam family: Bacterial small subunit ribosomal RNA
Source: RNAcentral
AACGAACGCUGGCGGCAUGCCUAACACAUGCAAGUCGAACGUGAUCCGGGACUUCGGUUUCGGUGAAAGUGGCGGACGGGUGAGUAAUACAUGGGUAACCUACCCUUGAGUGGGGAAUAACUAGCCGAAAGGUUAGCUAAUACCGCGUACGCUUCUUGGACUUCGGUUCAGGGAGGAAAGCGAUGCCGAGGGUAUCGCGCUCUUGGAUGGGCUCAUGUCCUAUCAGCUUGUUGGUGAGGUAACGGCUCACCAAGGCUUCGACGGGUAGCUGGUCUGAGAGGACGAUCAGCCACACUGGCACUGCGACACGGGCCAGACUCCUACGGGAGGCAGCAGUAAGGAAUAUUGCGCAAUGGGCGAAAGCCUGACGCAGCGACGCCGCGUGGGGGAU